UAUUAGGGCUAACUAUACAAAUAGUGUCUUAACUUUCCCAAAUUUGACAAUUGAUUGUUUGAAAUUUUUACUUUGUCAAUCAAGUGUCUGAAUGGACUCAAUUUUUUGCCCUUCUUUCUGUUCUAUCACCUCUAAUGCAAUACAUCAGAGGUCAAUUGAUUGGAAUUUCCGAAGACUUAUAAUGGAAGGAAGUGUAAUUGUAGAAAUUCUCUCUGUCAUAUAAUUAUUCUUUCUACUUUUACACCACUUCCAUUUUUCUUUUUUCCUUCAAUCUCCUUCCCCAUGCUAAGAGCUUUUGGGUCCAAAUCCAAUGGCAUCUCUUUUUAUAGUGUGGGUUACCUAUGCUUAGACAUACAAUAGGCGUGUUGAACAAGGUAAUGUAAUGUUUAACAAUGGUUAAAGGAAAAAAUGAGAAAAAGUAAUUCUCAAUCAAUCUAAGUCAAAGGACCAUGCUUCUCUUCUUUUUAUUCCCUCCCAUUUCCAUUCUUCUGACUUUCUAUCCUAAGUUCCACUUGAUCAAUAUGACAUUUCAAUGUCACCAAAGUUUCUCUUCUUUUAAACUCAUGUUUGAGGGCUUCCUUUGCACUAGGGGCUAUUAUAAGCCAUAGUUAUUAAAGGCUCAAG
This 624-nucleotide unclassified non-coding RNA is filed under the name Hevea brasiliensis (rubber tree). Lineage: Eukaryota; Viridiplantae; Streptophyta; Magnoliopsida; Malpighiales; Euphorbiaceae. The record is from RNAcentral.